Molecule: long non-coding RNA, 396 nt
Organism: Calidris pygmaea (Spoon-billed sandpiper)
Lineage: Eukaryota; Metazoa; Chordata; Aves; Charadriiformes; Scolopacidae
Source: Ensembl
CAACAGGACUGGCACAACUAUCUGAAACGCAUCUCAAUCCUGUUUCCAGCCCACUGGUUCUUCAGAUACGUAUGGUCUUGCUUGCAGUGCCAAGACCUGAGUGUGCUAUGGAUUGUUCACCACGAUGGUCACAUCAGUCUCUGGCUGCCUGAACUGUUUGUCAUUCAGGACAUGCGAUUUUCUCCUUGGUGGCUUGACUACUCCCGGAUCAGCCAGCUGAAAUGAUUAUAGCCAAAGAUAACUAAAAUAACAAAUGGCAAAUAGGAGCAUGAAGGGAAGCUCCUUGGCCAAACUGAUGUGAGCAGAAGACAACUGUUUCUAUCCUGAGAGACAGAUGGCCUUGACAGUGAUUACAUCAAGCUCCCCCAUGUCCUUGCAGACAGGAGUGUUUAGAAG